AACGCGAAGAACCUUACCAAGGCUUGACAUCCUGCGAAUCCGCUAGAAAUAGUGGAGUGCCUUCGGGAGCGCAGUGACAGGUGUUGCAUGGCCGUCGUCAGCUCGUGUCGUGAGAUGUUGGGUUAAGUCCCGCAACGAGCGCAACCCUUAUCGUAUGUUGAAUUUUUCAUACGAGACCGCCCGGGCCAACCGGGAGGAAGGUGGGGAUGACGUCAGGUCAGCAUGGCCCUUACGCCUUGGGCUACACACGUCAUACAAUGGCCGGUACAACGCGUUGCCAAAUCGCAAGAUGGAGCUAAUCGUACCAAAACCGGUCUCAGUUCGGAUUGCAGGCUGCAACUCGCCUGCAUGAAGUUGGAUUUGCUAGUAAACGUGGGUCAGCAUACCACGUUGAAUACGUUCCCGGGCCUUGUACACACCGUGUCGA
RNAcentral lists this ribosomal RNA (427 nucleotides) under uncultured bacterium. RNAcentral describes it as "bacterial SSU rRNA". It matches the Rfam family "Bacterial small subunit ribosomal RNA", at positions 958 to 1400 of the family's 1533-position model. The record is from RNAcentral.